AGUGAACGCUGGCGGUAGGCCUAACACAUGCAAGUCGAACGGCAGCACAGUAAGAGCUUGCUCUUACGGGUGGCGAGUGGCGGACGGGUGAGGAAUACAUCGGAAUCUACUUUUUCGUGGGGGAUAACGUAGGGAAACUUACGCUAAUACCGCAUACGACCUACGGGUGAAAGCAGGGGAUCUUCGGACCUUGCGCGAUUGAAUGAGCCGAUGUCGGAUUAGCUAGUUGGCGGGGUAAAGGCCCACCAAGGCGACGAUCCGUAGCUGGUCUGAGAGGAUGAUCAGCCAUACUGGAACUGAGACACGGUCCAGACUCCUACGGGAGGCAGCAGUGGGGAAUAUUGGACAGUGGGCGCAAGCCUGAUCCAGCCAUACCGCGUGGGUGAAGAAGGCCUUCGGGUUGUAAAGCCCUUUUGUUGGGAAAGAAAAGCAGCAGGUUAAUACCCCGCUGUUCUGACGGUACCCAAAGAAUAAGCACCGGCUAACUUCGU
RNAcentral lists this ribosomal RNA (491 nucleotides) under uncultured bacterium. Its description in RNAcentral is "partial 16S ribosomal RNA". It matches the Rfam family "Bacterial small subunit ribosomal RNA", at positions 29 to 506 of the family's 1533-position model. The record is from RNAcentral.